GCAGAGUCUCCAGCGGACGCUACCUGGAGUUUAGCCCUUACAGAUGUCAAAACUGGUUUACGGGCAAUUACACAAAAACUCAAGGAGAAUAUGAAAUGGUUUUCAUUCCCUCAACAAACCCCCAGAAAUAAUUGGCAGCUGUUUGGGUGACUAUCUGGAGACUCUGACAUGAAUAUGCAAGACCAUUCGCUCAGAAGUGGGAGGCGCAGGCUUUUCUUCAUCCAUAAGAACCAGAUGGGGUGAAAUUGAGAUGCUUCAAAUCACCCAAAAGAAUGUGGCUGAGAGGUGUACCCCGAGGACUGCACCCUUCCCUAAUGAUCAUAGUCUCCAUGUUGUUAAAAAGGCAAUCUGAACAGA
Long non-coding RNA from Ornithorhynchus anatinus (platypus), 357 nucleotides. RefSeq lists it as uncharacterized. The transcript is spliced from 2 exons. The record is from RefSeq and is a predicted model, not a curated record. Lineage: Eukaryota; Metazoa; Chordata; Mammalia; Monotremata; Ornithorhynchidae.